UACAGAGGGUGCAAGCGUUAAUCGGAAUUACUGGGCGUAAAGCAUGCGUAGACAGUUAUGUAAGUCAGAUGUGAAAGCCCAGGGCUCAACCUUGGAAUUGCAUUUGAGACUGCAUAGCUAGGGUGCGGAAGAGGGAAGCGGAAUUUCCGGUGUAGCGGUGAAAUGCGUAGAUAUCGGAAGGAACACCAGUGGCGAAAGCGGCUUCCUGGUCCAGCACCGACGUUCAGGCACGAAAGCGUGGGGAGCAAACAGG
This 253-nucleotide ribosomal RNA is filed under the name uncultured bacterium. RNAcentral describes it as "partial 16S ribosomal RNA". It matches the Rfam family "Bacterial small subunit ribosomal RNA", at positions 524 to 776 of the family's 1533-position model. The record is from RNAcentral.